AUGAGAAAAAGUCUGGAUUUUGCUACUUUUACUCUAAAAAUGAAAAAAAAAACAGGGAAUAAAAUAAACAGAUUAACAUAAAAAGUCUGAAUUACAUAAAAACGUAUUUUUGCACAAAUUCUCAGCUUCUGUGAUUCAAAGUGAAGGUUUGCUGCCCUCCUGCGACUGAAGGAGCUCACACACCCACGCUGCCUUCACGACACGUAGAAACUCGGACAUCUCAGCUGCGUUUUACUAAAAAUUCGGAUGACAAACACCCGCCGAUUAUAGUGACGUUUAGUAAAAUCACUGUUUAGAUUUAUCCUUUGAUCUGUUGACGUCAUCGUUGUUCGUUUAACGGUAACACGUGAAAUACACACAGCGUGUCCUCCGGUCGCUCCAAGUCUCCGAUCUCCUAUUUAACCCCAGCCCGUGAACGCAGCACCAGGACCAGCCUGCCUCACAUUGUUAACGUUGAUUUCUCCCGUUCAAAGCAGCAUUUUGUCUUCCGUGAGCCGAACCUGGAUCACAGCCUCCCACUAACCGCAUGAAAUCUCGGCUUCGUCAGGCAGCGGGACCCCCACCGGCACACGCCCGAGCAUGAGGAGGAUCGGUGGCCGUUACCCUGCCCAGACCGGAGGCUGCUGGUAGGGAUGGUGUGGCUGUGAAGAGCCGGUGUGACGCGCCUGUGGUCGGGGGAAGAAGUGCCUGGACAACAUGACUGUUUUCAACCCGGAAAAUGUGGAGGAAUUUUAUGACAUCGGGGACGAGCUGGGGAGGUCGUGGUUCUGAGAUUAUUAAUGGGAAAGAAGUCGAGCCACACUCACUGCCUUACAUGGCUUAUGUGAGAAGUGUGACUAAUUCUUGGUGUGGAGGGACAUUAAUCCAUCCACAGUGGGUGCUGACAGCUGCUCACUGCACUGGGAGUUACUGGGUGAUGCUGGGAGCCCACUCCAGAACGAAAAACGAACAUUCCAAGCAACUCCGAGUCGUCGAGAAAAGUUUUCCUCAUCCUGGCUACUGUUGUG
Maylandia zebra (zebra mbuna) is the source of this 1007-nucleotide non-coding RNA. The record is from RefSeq and is a predicted model, not a curated record. NCBI's taxonomy places the organism in Eukaryota, Metazoa, Chordata, Actinopteri, Cichliformes, Cichlidae.